UACGGGGGGAGCAAGCGUUGUUCGGAUUUACUGGGCGUAAAGGGCGCGUAGGCGGUCAGCACAAGUCAGUUGUGAAAUCUCCGGGCUUAACUCGGAAAGGUCAACUGAUACUGUGCGACUAGAGUGCAGAAGGGGCAACUGGAAUUCUCGGUGUAGCGGUGAAAUGCGUAGAUAUCGAGAGGAACACCUGCGGCGAAGGCGGCCAUCUGGACGAGGACUGACGCUGAGAUGCGAAAGCGUGGGGAGCAAACAGG
RNAcentral lists this ribosomal RNA (254 nucleotides) under uncultured bacterium. Its description in RNAcentral is "partial 16S ribosomal RNA". It matches the Rfam family "Bacterial small subunit ribosomal RNA", at positions 524 to 776 of the family's 1533-position model. The record is from RNAcentral.